AUGCACCGCUCCAUCCUGGCCGGUGGGACAAGAAUCAACCAAGAACAACAGAUUCCAUUCAACCAAGGAAGGCAUCUUCUACCACUUUCUAUGUGUGUGUGUGCGCUCUUUUGUCGUAAUGUUAUCUGGCGAAUGUCAGCUGGGAAGGGGAUGACAUGCGGCGGACACACUUUCCUAACAGUUUUAGUUACGGCACGAGAUCAAAUAGUGACGGUUUCAGAAGCAAAAUGUCUUUCUGUGAGGAAACUAUCUUGCAGUUCUGAAGAAACCGCCAACCCCCAUACAACUAAAACUGUCAUCUAA
Molecule: ribosomal RNA, 303 nt
Filed under: Triticum aestivum (bread wheat)
Lineage: Eukaryota; Viridiplantae; Streptophyta; Magnoliopsida; Poales; Poaceae
Description: partial small subunit ribosomal RNA
Source: RNAcentral